Molecule: ribosomal RNA, 538 nt
Filed under: alpha proteobacterium sj16
Lineage: Bacteria; Pseudomonadati; Pseudomonadota; Alphaproteobacteria
Also listed under: 1 other name
Description: bacterial SSU rRNA
Rfam family: Bacterial small subunit ribosomal RNA
Source: RNAcentral
AGGCAGCAGUGGGGAAUCUUGCGCAAUGGGCGAAAGCCUGACGCAGCCAUGCCGCGUGUAUGAUGAAGGUCUUAGGAUUGUAAAAUACUUUCACCGGUGAAGAUAAUGACUGUAGCCGGAGAAGAAGCCCCGGCUAACUUCGUGCCAGCAGCCGCGGUAAUACGAAGGGGGCUAGCGUUGCUCGGAAUUACUGGGCGUAAAGGGAGCGUAGGCGGACAUUUAAGUCAGGGGUGAAAUCCCAGAGCUCAACUCUGGAACUGCCUUUGAUACUGGGUGUCUUGAGUGUGAGAGAGGUAUGUGGAACUCCGAGUGUAGAGGUGAAAUUCGUAGAUAUUCGGAAGAACACCAGUGGCGAAGGCGACAUACUGGCUCAUUACUGACGCUGAGGCUCGAAAGCGUGGGGAGCAAACAGGAUUAGAUACCCUGGUAGUCCACGCCGUAAACGAUGAUUGCUAGUUGUCGGGAUGUUUACAUCUCGGUGACGCAGCUAACGCAUUAAGCAAUCCGCCUGGGGAGUACGGUCGCAAGAUUAAAACUC